RNAcentral lists this long non-coding RNA (554 nucleotides) under Homo sapiens (human). RNAcentral describes it as "long non-coding RNA NONHSAT007188". The record is from RNAcentral. Lineage: Eukaryota; Metazoa; Chordata; Mammalia; Primates; Hominidae.
AGACUCCAGAAUUUGUUUGCCCUCUAGGGUAGAAUCCGCCAAGCUUUGAGAGAAGGCUGUGACUGCUGUGCUCUGGGCGCCAGCUCGCUCCAGGGAGUGAUGGGAAUCCUGUCAUUCUUACCUGUCCUUGCCACUGAGAGUGACUGGGCUGACUGCAAGUCCCCCCAGCCUUGGGGUCAUAUGCUUCUGUGGACAGCUGUGCUAUUCCUGGCUCCUGUUGCUGGGACACCUGCUCCCCCAAAGGCUGUGCUGAAACUCGAGCCCUAGUGGAUCAACGUGCUCCAAGAGGACUCUGUGACUCUGACAUGCCGGGGGACUCACAGCCCUGAGAGCGACUCCAUUCCGUGGUUCCACAAUGGGAAUCUCAUUCCCACCCACACGCAGCCCAGCUACAGGUUCAAGGCCAACAACAAUGACAGCGGGGAGUACACGUGCCAGACUGGCCAGACCAGCCUCAGCGACCCUGUGCAUCUGACUGUGCUUUCUGGUCAGUGGAGGAAGGCCCCAGGGUGGACCUGGGAGGGCCAGGAUGGAUGAAAUCUGCUUUCAGGCAG